GACGAACCGUGCGAACGUUAUUCGGAAUCACUGGGCUUAAAGCGCGUGUAGGCGGGCGGGAAUGUCGGUUGCUGAAAGCCCCCGGCUCAACCGGGGAACGGGCGCCGAAACGACCCGCCUCGAGGGACGUAGGGGGACCUGGAACUUCCGGUGGAGCGGUGAAAUGCGUUGAGAUCGGAAGGAACGCCCGUGGCGAAAGCGAGGUCCUGGACGUCUUCUGACGCUGAGACGCGAAAGCUAGGGGAGCGAACGGG
RNAcentral lists this ribosomal RNA (254 nucleotides) under uncultured bacterium. RNAcentral describes it as "partial 16S ribosomal RNA". It matches the Rfam family "Bacterial small subunit ribosomal RNA", at positions 524 to 776 of the family's 1533-position model. The record is from RNAcentral.